This 503-nucleotide ribosomal RNA is filed under the name uncultured bacterium. Its description in RNAcentral is "partial 16S ribosomal RNA". It matches the Rfam family "Bacterial small subunit ribosomal RNA", at positions 30 to 523 of the family's 1533-position model. The record is from RNAcentral.
AUUGAACGCUGGCGGCAGGCUUAACACAUGCAAGUCGAGCGGGGUGAUGGUGCUUGCACUAUCACUUAGCGGCGGACGGGUGAGUAAUGCUUAGGAAUCUGCCUAUUAGUGGGGGACAACAUCUCGAAAGGGAUGCUAAUACCGCAUACGUCCUACGGGAGAAAGCAGGGGAUCACUGGUGACCUUGCGCUAAUAGAUGAGCAUAAGUCGGAUUAGCUAGUUGGUGGGGUAAAGGCCUACCAAGGCGACGAUCUGUAGCGGGUCUGAGAGGAUGAUCCGCCACACUGGGACUGAGACACGGCCCAGACUCCUACGGGAGGCAGCAGUGGGGAAUAUUGGACAAUGGGGGGAACCCUGAUCCAGCCAUGCCGCGUGUGUGAAGAAGGCCUUAUGGUUGUAAAGCACUUUAAGCGAGGAGGAGGCUCUUUUGGUUAAUACCCAAGAUGAGUGGACGUUACUCGCAGAAUAAGCACCGGCUAACUCUGUGCCAGCCGCCGCGGUAA